This 75-nucleotide transfer RNA is filed under the name Planctomycetota bacterium. Its description in RNAcentral is "Planctomycetes bacterium tRNA-Thr". It matches the Rfam family "tRNA". Rfam says of the family: Transfer RNA (tRNA) molecules are approximately 80 nucleotides in length. Their secondary structure includes four short double-helical elements and three loops (D, anti-codon, and T loops). The record is from RNAcentral. Lineage: Bacteria; Pseudomonadati; Planctomycetota.
GCUAGCGUAGCUCAACGGUAGAGCACGGCUUUCGUAAAGCCGAUGUUGUGGGUUCGAUUCCCACCGCUAGCUCCC